Molecule: ribosomal RNA, 253 nt
Filed under: uncultured bacterium
Lineage: Bacteria
Description: partial 16S ribosomal RNA
Rfam family: Bacterial small subunit ribosomal RNA
Source: RNAcentral
UACAGAGGGUGCGAGCGUUGUUCGGCAUUAUUGGGCGUAAAGCGCAUGUAGGCGGGUUGUUAAGUCGCGUGUGAAAGCCCCAGGCUCAACCUGGGAAGUGCGCGCGAAACUGGUAACCUUGAGUGCUGGAGAGGGUGGCGGAAUUCCCGGUGUAGAGGUGUAAUUCGUAGAUAUCGGGAGGAACACCAGAGGCGAAGGCGGCCACCUGGACAGACACUGACGCUGAGACGCGACAGCGUGGGGAGCAAACAGG